UCCUUGGAGGACUAGUGGUUAGGCUUCGGUGCUCUCACCGCCACGGCCUGAGUUCGAUCCCUGGCCAGGGAA
RNAcentral lists this transfer RNA (72 nucleotides) under Pangasianodon hypophthalmus (striped catfish). RNAcentral's name for it is "tRNA-Glu". The record is from RNAcentral. Lineage: Eukaryota; Metazoa; Chordata; Actinopteri; Siluriformes; Pangasiidae.